Mustela putorius furo (domestic ferret) is the source of this 1781-nucleotide long non-coding RNA. The record is from Ensembl. Lineage: Eukaryota; Metazoa; Chordata; Mammalia; Carnivora; Mustelidae.
UCAUUCUCUUUUUACAGAUGGAGAAACUGGGUCACAGAUAGGCAAAGUGGUAGGGAGGUAAGUUGUGAGUGAAAUCUGAACAGAGGCAGUGUGGUUCUAGAGUCUACAGGUUCAUCUACCAUGUUCUACAGAAGUGAGUGAAAGAAAUCUGGCUUUGUUUUGAAUUUCAGGUGACUGACUCCAAUUCUGUGUCUUUCCCACUAAACCAGACUUCCUUCUGGGCUUCACUGAAGGGACAAUGUAUACGUCCUAAGCAUAGUGGAAGGCAUGCAACACAUGCCAGGAUGAGCUGAACAGGUGGCCCUCUACCUUCCAGGCACAACCUGACUUGAGGACCCCACACCAGGAUCCUAACAGAGAAAUAUGUCAAAGAAAAUGCCAUGGUUUCUGGUUCCUUGCUGAUGAGCCAAGUUUCAUGCACUUGGGCGAGGUCCUGCUCCUGAAUAAUCUCUACACACAGGAAAGGAUGAGGCCAGCUGGAUCCAGAGAACAGAUCUGCAUGAAGCUCUUCUUCUCAAAAAGGUGGAGGAGGAAGGAGAGAGGACUGAUGGAUCUCGGCAAGAGGGCGGCAGAAACUGUGACCUUUGGAAACAGAGCACUGAGAACAGUUACAUCAUGAAAAGCACUCCUUACCCUUCUCUUUAAGGAAAAAAAGAAGUGGGAUUCUGCUAAUGCAGAGGAGAAAAUUGGAGCCUUAAAUACAUAUAUUAUAAAAGGAAAGGCCAAAAAUCAAUGGCUAAAUAUCUGUCAUAAAAGUUGGCAAAAGAGCAGCAAAUUAAAUCCAAAGAAAGUAAGAAGGAAGGAAAUAAUAAAGAUAAGGGGUAAAAUUAAUGAAAUAGAAAAGACAUAUUCAAAAGAAAAUAAUCAACAAAACCAAAAUUUGUUUUCUUGAAAAAACUAAUAAAAUUGAUAACUCCCAGGAAAAAAUAAUUAAAAAAAGAAAAAAAUAUAGAAAAUUAGUAUAAACAAAGGGGAAAGACAUUUAAAAAAUGACUGUAGGUUAUUAUAAACUUUUUUUUAAAUAAGCCUUGUCAACUGAGAGAAGACGGAUAAAUUCUUAGUAAACACAAGAUACAAACUUUUAAAUAAUUCUGUAUAAUUCUAUUCAAAAUAGUAAAGCCAUAAUUUAAAUCUUCCUAUGAAUAAAAAUCCAGGGCCAGAUGACUUCACUAAUGAAUUCUUCCAAACAUUUAAAGAAGAAGUGAUUCCAAUCUUAGAUAAACUUCCUUAGAGAAGCAGGAUAGAUACUUCUCAACUUCACUAGGCCAGCAAACCUUGAUAUCUGACAAGGAUAUUACAAGAAAGGAUUCAGUCAGUCUUUCUUAUGAAUAUAUAUGAUGAUAUUUUAAACAAAAUAUAUAAAACGAGAUAUACAAAAAACGUAUAUGUCAUGACCAAGUCAGGUUUUUUUCCCCAACAAGCCACAGCUGAUUUAAUACCAGUAUAAUGCAGUAAACUAAUAGAAAAGGAAAGAGAAAUAAGAUUGAUAUGCAGAAAAAUAUUCAAGAAUUCAUAUCCAUACAUGACUUAAAAAUAAUUGUGGCAACUAGAAAUAGAGGGAAUUUUCUUAAUUUGAUAAAUGUCAGUAGAAACUUAUAGCAGACUUUGUAUUUGAUGAUGAACCAUUAAAAAUUUUCUGCCUGAGACUGGAGUUGAGGAAGAAAUGGUGGAGAUCACCAUUGUACAGCACCAUUAUAUCACCACUACUCAACGUUGUAAUGGAGGGCCUACCAUUUACAAUAAAGUGAGAAAAAGAAAUAAAAUGCGUAAGACAUGAAAAU